RNAcentral lists this ribosomal RNA (445 nucleotides) under uncultured bacterium. RNAcentral describes it as "bacterial SSU rRNA". It matches the Rfam family "Bacterial small subunit ribosomal RNA", at positions 29 to 521 of the family's 1533-position model. The record is from RNAcentral.
AACGAACGCUGGCGGCAGGCCUAAUACAUGCAAGUCGAACGGAUCCUUCGGGAUUAGUGGCGGACGGGUGAGUAACACGUGGGAACGUGCCCUUUGGUUCGGAACAACUCAGGGAAACUUGAGCUAAUACCGGAUAAGCCCUUCGGGGAAGGAUUAUCGCCAUUGGAGCGGCCCGCGUCUGAUUAGCUAGUUGGUGGGGUAAAGGACCUACCAAGGCGACGAUCAGUAGCUGGUCUGAGAGGAUGANCAGCCACACUGGGACUGAGACACGGCCCAGACUCCUACGGGAGGCAGCAGUAGGGAAUCUUGCGCAAUGGGCGAAAGCCUGACGCAGCCAUGCCGCGUGAAUGAUGAAGGUCUUAGGAUUGUAAAAUUCUUUCAGCGGGACGAUAAUGACGGUACCCGCAGAAGAAGCCCCGGCUAACUUCGUGCCAGCCGCCGCAGU